RNAcentral lists this ribosomal RNA (471 nucleotides) under uncultured bacterium. RNAcentral describes it as "bacterial SSU rRNA". It matches the Rfam family "Bacterial small subunit ribosomal RNA", at positions 264 to 721 of the family's 1533-position model. The record is from RNAcentral.
CUCACCAAGGCGACGAUCAGUAGCGGGUCUGAGAGGAUGAUCCGCCACACUGGGACUGAGACACGGCCCAGACUCCCUACGGGGAAGGCAGCAGUGGGGAAUUUUGGACAAUGGGCGAAAGCCUGAUCCAGCCAUGCCGCGUGUCUGAAGAAGGCCUUCGGGGUUGUAAAAGGACUUUUGUCAGGGAGCAAAACUUACUGGUUAAUACCCGGUGAGGCUGAGAGUACCUGAAGAAUAAGCACCGGCUAACUACGUGCCAGCAGCCGCGGUAAUACGUAGGGUGCAAGCGUUAAUCGGAAUUACUGGGCGUAAAGCGUGCGCAGGCGGACUUUUAAGCCAGAUGUGAAAGCCCCGAGCUUAACUUGGGAAUUGCGUUUGGAACUUGGGAGUCUAGAGUCUGUCAGAGGGGGAUGGAAUUCCACGUGUAGCAGUGAAAUGCGUAGAGAUGUGGAGGAACACCGAUGGCGAAGG